RNAcentral lists this ribosomal RNA (238 nucleotides) under uncultured bacterium. RNAcentral describes it as "partial 16S ribosomal RNA". It matches the Rfam family "Bacterial small subunit ribosomal RNA", at positions 96 to 334 of the family's 1533-position model. The record is from RNAcentral.
CGGCGGACGGGUGAGUAACGCGUGGAUAACCUGCCUCACACAGGGGGAUAACAGUUAGAAAUGACUGCUAAUACCGCAUAAGACCACGGUACCGCAUGGUACAGUGGUAAAAACUCCGGUGGUAUGAGAUGGACCCGCGUCUGAUUAGGUAGUUGGUGGGGUAACGGCCUACCAAGCCGACGAUCAGUAGCCGACCUGAGAGGGUGACCGGCCACAUUGGGACUGAGACACGGCCCAG